Non-coding RNA from Phrynosoma platyrhinos (Desert horned lizard), 73 nucleotides. NCBI's taxonomy places the organism in Eukaryota, Metazoa, Chordata, Lepidosauria, Squamata, Phrynosomatidae. The record is from the annotation of a GenBank genome assembly.
GUCAAUAUAGUUUAAUGGUUUGAGUGUUAGACUAGGAAUCUGGGAGACCAGGGCUCAAAUCCCUGAACAGCCA